GUAGGUGGCAAGCGUUGUCCGGAAUUAUUGGGCGUAAAGCGCGCGCAGGCGGUCCUUUAAGUCUGAUGUGAAAGCCCACGGCUCAACCGUGGAGGGUCAUUGGAAACGUGGGGGACUUGAGUACAGAAGAGGAAAGCGGAAUUCCAAGUGUAGCGGUGAAAUGCGUAGAGAUUUGGAGGAACACCAGUGGCGAAGGCGGCUUUCUGGUCUGUAACUGACGCUGAGGCGCGAAAGCGUGGGGAGCAAACAGGAUUAGAUACCCUGGUAGUCCACGCCGUAAACGAUGAGUGCUAAGUGUUAGGGGGUUUCCCGCCCCCCUUAGUGCUGCAGCUAACGCAUUAAGCACUCCGCCUGGGGAGUACGGCCGCAAGGCUG
This 375-nucleotide ribosomal RNA is filed under the name uncultured organism. RNAcentral's name for it is "partial 16S ribosomal RNA". It matches the Rfam family "Bacterial small subunit ribosomal RNA", at positions 527 to 896 of the family's 1533-position model. The record is from RNAcentral.